RNAcentral lists this transfer RNA (78 nucleotides) under Rhizobium sp. RCAM05350. RNAcentral describes it as "tRNA-Arg". It matches the Rfam family "tRNA". Rfam says of the family: Transfer RNA (tRNA) molecules are approximately 80 nucleotides in length. Their secondary structure includes four short double-helical elements and three loops (D, anti-codon, and T loops). Further hydrogen bonds mediate the characteristic L-shaped molecular structure. tRNAs have two regions of fundamental functional importance: the anti-codon, which is responsible for specific mRNA codon recognition, and the 3' end, to which the tRNAs corresponding amino acid is attached (by aminoacyl-tRNA synthetases). tRNAs cope with the degeneracy of the genetic code in two manners: having more than one tRNA (with a specific anti-codon) for a particular amino acid; and 'wobble' base-pairing, i.e. permitting non-standard base-pairing at the 3rd anti-codon position. Lineage: Bacteria; Pseudomonadati; Pseudomonadota; Alphaproteobacteria; Hyphomicrobiales; Rhizobiaceae. The record is from RNAcentral.
GCACCCGUAGCUCAGCUGGAUAGAGUGCUGCCCUCCGAAGGCAGAGGUCACUGGUUCUGAAUCCAGUCGGGUGCACCA